UUGACAGCUAAAAAGACUGAAGUCCUUUAUUUACUCACUGACCAGGUACAGUUUGGGCAGCAGUAUUGCAAGCUUCUCAUCCUGUCAAAAAACCUGAGGUGGUUCAACUCUGACUUGGAGGGACCUACCUCUAAGGAUAGAUUAGUCUCCAUGGCCCUUUCAAUCCUUGGCUGCU
RNAcentral lists this small RNA (175 nucleotides) under Crocodylus porosus (Australian saltwater crocodile). RNAcentral describes it as "TUC338 (ENSCPRG00005018205.1)". Lineage: Eukaryota; Metazoa; Chordata; Crocodylia; Crocodylidae. The record is from RNAcentral.